GUGCUUGAUUUGGCAGCACAUAUAUUAAAAUUGAGACAAUGCAGAGAAGAUUAACAUGGAUCCUGUGCAGGGGUGACAUGCAAAUUCAUGAAAUGUUCCAUAUUUUC
Molecule: small nuclear RNA, 107 nt
Organism: Talpa occidentalis (Iberian mole)
Lineage: Eukaryota; Metazoa; Chordata; Mammalia; Eulipotyphla; Talpidae
Source: RefSeq, a predicted model, not a curated record